Paramuricea clavata is the source of this 854-nucleotide non-coding RNA. The record is from the annotation of a GenBank genome assembly. NCBI's taxonomy places the organism in Eukaryota, Metazoa, Cnidaria, Anthozoa, Malacalcyonacea, Plexauridae.
CAGAUACUUUAUCUCAAUCUUUCAAACUGCUGUUUAAUCUUUAAAUCAAAUCAAGCAGUGUUUUGAACAUUAUAGCGAUGUAAAUAAACCACAAGACAACACGUAGUUCCUGAAUGAAGAAAUAAAGCCAAGGUAAUAUAUAUAUAAGACGAAAUGAAAUAUAUUUACAUUUAAGGAAUUGCAUAAGCAUAUCGAAAAUACAAACCCGCUUCAACCAUGACUAUAAACACAAAUAAUUUCUGAAGACCAGAAUUGAAAUUGUCCACAGAUAUUUCGUUAAGUUUCGCAAGAGUUAGACGUCUUUUAUACGCUUGCUUUAACUCAUAUAAUUUGACUAAAUUGUUGAUGACGGCUACAAUAUACAUGCUAACAUGGUGCUGUCUUAAGCGUUCUAUUUUCAGUUCAAACGACAUCUAACAUCUCUUCUCUUAUGUAUAUGUCUCAAGGUAUUGAUUCAACAAUGAUCUAAACACAAAAUGUCCUCAUACGACACUGGCUAUGAAGAUGAACUAUUUCAACAUCCCGUUGGCCAUACGUUGCAUUGUAGUAUAUGUCUGAAUGUUUUAAAACAUCCAGUCACGUGUCGACAUAAUGAGCAUCUGUUUUGUCGAGCUUGUAUCACCAUACAUCUCAUGAACUUUCAAACAUGUCCAUCGUGUAUGGAACCACUCACUGUCGAAUCACUGCGCCAAGCACCUCGAAACAUAACGAACUUACUUUCCGAAUUAAAGAUCCGCUGUCAAUUCUUCGAUCGUGGUUGCGGACAGUUUGUUGAAUUAGGAGAUCUCGAAAGGCAUGUCACUGACUGUGGGUUUGCCCCAGCAGUCUGCUCUAACGAAGGAUGCCAACUUGAG